RNAcentral lists this long non-coding RNA (269 nucleotides) under Lathyrus oleraceus (garden pea). Its description in RNAcentral is "Pisum sativum (pea) long non-coding RNA (PSAT_LNC014912)". The record is from RNAcentral. Lineage: Eukaryota; Viridiplantae; Streptophyta; Magnoliopsida; Fabales; Fabaceae.
AAAAGGAUUAGUUUAUAUCAGAUACCUAUCAAACUCGAUUAAAUAUUAAUUAUGAGUUUUAAAAUUAAAACUCAUAUUUAUCAAAAAAAAAUUAGCUCGUUAAAAAAAAAAAAGUCAAAUACUCAUUAUGGCUAAUACUUAAUCGCCUCACUAAAAAAAUAAGGUUACCUUUUUCAUUAACUUUUGUCGCUUUUUAUAUUAGAUAUUAUAUAAAACUAAUAUUUAAUUAUUUCGCAUUUUGAUUUAUAGAUUUUUUUUAAAAUAACCAU